GAUGAACGCUAGCGGCAGGCUUAACACAUGCAAGUCGAGGGGUAUUGGUUUUCGGACCAAGAGACCGGCGCACGGGUGCGUAACGCGUAUGCAAUCUACCUUUUGCAGAGGGAUAGCCCCAGAGAAAUUUGGAUUAAUACCUCAUAGUAUGUGAGAAUGGCAUCAUUUUCACAUUAAAGUCACAACGGCAAAAGAUGAGCAUGCGUCCCAUUAGCUUGUUGGUAAGGUAACGGCUUACCAAGGCAACGAUGGGUAGGGGUCCUGAGAGGGAGAUCCCCCANACUGGUACUGAGACACGGACCAGACUCCUACGGGAGGCAGCAGUGAGGAAUAUUGGACAAUGGGCGCAAGCCUGAUCCAGCCAUGCCGCGUGCAGGAUGACGGUCCUAUGGAUUGAAACUGCUUUGUACAGGAGAAACCCUUUCACGUGUGGAAGAUUGACGGUACUGUAAGAAUAAGGAUCGGCUAAACUCCGUGCCAGCAGCCG
RNAcentral lists this ribosomal RNA (487 nucleotides) under uncultured bacterium. RNAcentral's name for it is "bacterial SSU rRNA". It matches the Rfam family "Bacterial small subunit ribosomal RNA", at positions 28 to 517 of the family's 1533-position model. The record is from RNAcentral.